UAGAAGUUGACGGGGCCGCACAGCGGUGGAGCAUGUGGUUUAAUUCGAAGCAACGCGAAGAACCUUACCAGGUCUUGACAUCCCGAUGCUAUUUCUAGAGAUAGAAAGUUACUUCGGUACAUCGGUGACAGGUGGUGCAUGGUUGUCGUCAGCUCGUGUCGUGAGAUGUUGGGUUAAGUCCCGCAACGAGCGCAACCCUUGCCUUUAGUUGCCAGCAGUUCGGCUGGGCACUCUAAAGGGACUGCCGGUGUCAAACCGGAGGAAGGUGGGGAUGACGUCAAGUCCUCAUGGCCUUUAUGGCCAGGGCUACACACGUACUACAAUGGCCGGUACAAAGGGCAGCGACAUUGCGAGAUGGAGCGAAUCCCGAAAAGCCGGUCUCAGUCCGGAUUGGAGUCUGCAACUCGACUCCAUGAAGUUGGAAUCGCUAGUAAUCGUGGAUCAGCAUGCCACGGUGAAUACGUUCCCGGGCCUU
This 475-nucleotide ribosomal RNA is filed under the name uncultured Desulfobulbus sp. Its description in RNAcentral is "bacterial SSU rRNA". It matches the Rfam family "Bacterial small subunit ribosomal RNA", at positions 905 to 1382 of the family's 1533-position model. Lineage: Bacteria; Pseudomonadati; Thermodesulfobacteriota; Desulfobulbia; Desulfobulbales; Desulfobulbaceae. The record is from RNAcentral.